This 253-nucleotide ribosomal RNA is filed under the name uncultured bacterium. RNAcentral's name for it is "partial 16S ribosomal RNA". It matches the Rfam family "Bacterial small subunit ribosomal RNA", at positions 524 to 776 of the family's 1533-position model. The record is from RNAcentral.
UACGUAGGUGGCAAGCGUUGUCCGGAUUUAUUGGGUUUAAAGGGUGCGUAGGCGGCUAACUAAGUCAGACGUGAAAUCCCUCGGCUUAACCGGGGAACUGCGUCUGAUACUGGAUGGCUUGAGUUUGGGAGAGGGAUGCGGAAUUCCAGGUGUAGCGGUGAAAUGCGUAGAUAUCUGGAGGAAUACCGGUGGCGAAGGCGGCAUCCUGGACCGGCAUUGACGCUGAGGAGCGAAAGCCAGGGGAGCAAACGGG